RNAcentral lists this ribosomal RNA (253 nucleotides) under uncultured bacterium. RNAcentral describes it as "partial 16S ribosomal RNA". It matches the Rfam family "Bacterial small subunit ribosomal RNA", at positions 524 to 776 of the family's 1533-position model. The record is from RNAcentral.
UACAUAGGUCUCAAGCGUUGUUCGGAUUCAUUGGGCGUAAAGGGUGCGUAGGUGGCGCCGUAAGUCAGGUGUGAAAUUUCGGAGCUUAACUCCGAAACUGCAUUUGAUACUGCGGUGCUUGAGGACUGGAGAGGAGACUGGAAUUCACGGUGUAGCAGUGAAAUGCGUAGAUAUCGUAAGGAAGACCAGUGGCGAAGGCGGGUCUCUGGACAGUUCCUGACGCUGAGGCACGAAGGUCAGGGGAGCAAACGGG